ACUUGCUGUCUUUAGAGGGCUUGGCAGCUUUGAGGAGCACCUCAAAAAGAAAAAUACGACUUUCACAUGAAUUGCUGAAGAGGGCCUUAUUCCUUCCACGUGUACCACUCAGAGUUUUACCUGGUUGUCUGCAGGAUUAAGUGCUGGCUCUUGGGAUCCCAGUGUUCCUGGGCAGGUGCUGCAGCACAAUGAGUUGGGAUGGGUAUCUUUUCAAACUGCGACAGCUGAUUAUGCUGAUGCUUCUGACAAGCACUGGGGCUCCUGGGCUGACACCCAGGGAAGCAUGGGGAAGCAGGAAAAGAGUAAAGUAUCUGAGAUAUGCAUUAUGGAUGAAACUACAACAUUGCUUUCACAGUUGUGUCAUGAAGCACCUGAGGAAACAUGAGAAGAAGUUGACUUUCAAAAACCACUUGGAGACAGAAAUGCAUGGGGAAGGAAGACAUCUGAAGAAGCUGAUUUUUCCUUAACCUGAUGUUAAACAUAAAAACAUUUACAUUUCGUUGUAGGAAGGGUAAUUUGGCUUUCAAGGAAAGAAAAACAGUGGGCAGUCUCAGAAACCUCACUAUUUGGAGAUUUAUGCACAAGUUAAAAAUAUACUGAGGAAACUAGAAAUUUUUAAAUAUAUAACAUUUAAAGUAAAAAAAAAUUGAAAUCAGAAUAUAAAUCAAAUUUUUCCUACUGUGAAUAUGCCACAUUUUUACUAUGGUAUAACGUUCAUCUCAUGUACAGUGACUUCUAUACAAUACAUAAGACCUCAAAUCAAAUUUGAGCAUAUGCAGGUUGACUUGGAGCACUAGGAGUCCUUUAAUUAUCUUUUGAUACAAAAUCUAGUUCACAAAUUUCAAAUGUUGAGUCCAAUGCUUGGAAAUAAGUUUUUGAAACAGAGGGUUGAUUUAUCAAAAGAAAGUAUUUCAUUUUGCACAACAGACUUUUGGUACACUAUAAUAUCCUGUCACAAUUAAUGCUAAGGAAUCAGGUAUAUACAUGCAUAACAUCUCUGCAAGUUUACAAACCACUUUUUUAUGUAAUAUCGGUGGUUGAACAUUCCAAUGUUUUUUUCCAAAGCUUUCUACUUGAAUAUAUUCAUUGUUGGAAGAUUUUAAUUAGUAUUAUAAUAAUUCCAUACACUUACAACUGGCAUGCAGGGAUCAUAAGAACUUGCUUACAUGCCCCUUUCUCUUCUACUCAUUUAACAGCUGCACAACUAAUUUGGCAUUAACAUAUUUAUUCUUAAAUUCCUAUUGCAUAAAUUAGAAAACUGCCACAUCCUGUGUCUUUCCUAGGACUUGGAGUGAUGCUUUAUUUUAGUCUCAUAACCAGUCACAUUUCACUCCAUGUGAAGUACCUUUGCUAAUGGACAUAUCCAUUUCAUAUAUGACUGGUAUAUGAUGUCCCACUCAUUCCAUGUUUCAAAGAAAGAACAGAAAAUUCACUGAGUAAAGAACAGUGAUGCUGUAGCUGCAGGGGUACCAACUCCACAGUGGGAUUUAACAAGAUACUAUUUUUGGUACUCUAAGAUCUUUAUUGCUAUGGUAACACUUGCAACAUUUUAUUUCUUCAAAAUCUUUUACUGAAACGAGAUUGCACAAAUACAAUUUAAGGAAAGUACACACAUACACACCCACACAACUGGAAAAUAAAUGCAGACUUCACAAAGACUCUUUGGACUUU
Zonotrichia albicollis (white-throated sparrow) is the source of this 1671-nucleotide long non-coding RNA. The record is from Ensembl. NCBI's taxonomy places the organism in Eukaryota, Metazoa, Chordata, Aves, Passeriformes, Passerellidae.